CAAAGGUUGCAUUGAGCUUCUGUUCACAGUCCUCAGUGCUACUCUUUUGGACAGAAAACAUGUUCUUUCUGAAGGAUCGGACAGGAGGCCAACCAACUACUUGUGCCCUAAAAUUUCACACAACAAAAUUUUUUAUAAUUAAAUAUAUACUAUCAUCUUUCAUAUUUAAUGAUCUUUAAUUAACGUCCCAAACAGCAUUUAAUUGUUUUAUAAGUGAAGGUAUUAUAGAGAGAAUUACAGAAGCAAUGGAAAGUGACAAAGCAAGUCAAUGGAAUUAAAGAUACGUAGCUUUUCAAAAAAUAAAUUGAUUGGGUCAAAAUGAAAAUGAAUUAUCUACGUUAAUCUGUUAAUUGGGCCAAUAAUUGCAAGCCACUGGAUUUUUAUUUUGGUUCUUUAUGAGAAGGGCAUCGAUGUUGGACACAGGACCACUUUCAGGGUGUACCAACUGAGCUAAAUAACGCAAUUGGUUAGCUACUGAAAGUUUUGUUAUAAUUUAUGUAUCCUCCAAUAUUAUAAUUAGUUUAUUUUUUUUAAUAAGCCAAUAUUAUAAUUAGUUGUUUAUAUAUUUUGUCUAUUGAGAUCUCAAUUCUUACCUUAUUACUCAAAAUUUUCUUUCCUUAUUCUUGGAAACCAGGAACUACUAAUUAUUGUGGUUUGCAUCAUUAAAUGCAUGGCUACACAAACUUAAAUUUAUAUAGACAAGAUCUACAUGUAAAUCUACUUACUGGCUUUUAAAUUUGCUAUACUAUGAAAAUUUGCCAAUGGUGAUUUAUGCUAACAGUAACUUCAAUUGUUUUCUUUAUGCUUUAUGUAUCUAUUUUUCUCCAAUCAUUCUCGCCGAUUACUAGAUGAAAUUUACUUAAUUCAUGGAAAAUACAUCGGUGGAAUUCUAGAUGCAUAUACUUGAAGUGCAUCAACUAGCAGCUGAGAUAGAGAUUAAUGUUGAUAAAUCUAAGUUAUGUGCAUGUGCUAAAAGCUUAAUUAGCAUCAAAACCAGAAGGAUUAUUAUAGAAACUGUUCUCUCUCAUACUCACAAAGACGUAUAUUACCUAAUCAGAUAUGUUACAGAAAAAAGGAAAGACAGAAGGAAAGAAAAGGGAAGGGAAAACAAGAGACCGAUUAAGUUAGAUCAGAAAAAGAAAGCAUGCAACUUACUUAGCUGGAGGCUUUUCUGGAUCAGCAGCGAGAAGAUGCUUCUCUCUUUGUAACUUGCUGGUAUUGCCAUUUUGAUCGAUCCCAGGGUCUUUGGAUGAAAGAUUAAGCUUCAAAUCCACAGUCUCAGAGAA
This 1286-nucleotide unclassified non-coding RNA is filed under the name Hevea brasiliensis (rubber tree). Lineage: Eukaryota; Viridiplantae; Streptophyta; Magnoliopsida; Malpighiales; Euphorbiaceae. The record is from RNAcentral.